RNAcentral lists this ribosomal RNA (781 nucleotides) under Nonomuraea sp. BEE9L5. Its description in RNAcentral is "bacterial SSU rRNA". It matches the Rfam family "Bacterial small subunit ribosomal RNA", at positions 53 to 854 of the family's 1533-position model. Lineage: Bacteria; Bacillati; Actinomycetota; Actinomycetes; Streptosporangiales; Streptosporangiaceae. The record is from RNAcentral.
ACAUGCAAGUCGAGCGGAAAGGCCCUUCGGGGUACUCGAGCGGCGAACGGGUGAGUAACACGUGAGCAACCUGCCCCUGACUCUGGGAUAAGCCCGGGAAACUGGGUCUAAUACCGGAUAUGACCGCCCCUGGCAUCGGGUGGUGGUGGAAAGUUUUUCGGUUGGGGAUGGGCUCGCGGCCUAUCAGCUUGUUGGUGGGGUAGUGGCCUACCAAGGCGACGACGGGUAGCCGGCCUGAGAGGGCGACCGGCCACACUGGGACUGAGACACGGCCCAGACUCCUACGGGAGGCAGCAGUGGGGAAUAUUGCGCAAUGGGCGGAAGCCUGACGCAGCGACGCCGCGUGGGGGAUGACGGCCUUCGGGUUGUAAACCUCUUUCAGCAGGGACGAAGUUGACGUGUACCUGCAGAAGAAGCGCCGGCUAACUACGUGCCAGCAGCCGCGGUAAUACGUAGGGCGCAAGCGUUGUCCGGAAUUAUUGGGCGUAAAGAGCUCGUAGGUGGCUGGUCGCGUCUGCCGUGAAAGCCCGCAGCUUAACUGCGGGUCUGCGGUGGAUACGGGCCGGCUAGAGGUAGGUAGGGGCAAGUGGAAUUCCUGGUGUAGCGGUGAAAUGCGCAGAUAUCAGGAGGAACACCGGUGGCGAAGGCGGCUUGCUGGGCCUUACCUGACGCUGAGGAGCUAAAGCGUGGGGAGCGAACAGGAUUAGAUACCCUGGUAGUCCACGCUGUUAACGUUGGGCGCUAGGUGUGGGACCCUUCCACGGUUUCCGUGCCGUAGCUA